Oncorhynchus tshawytscha (Chinook salmon) is the source of this 2362-nucleotide long non-coding RNA. Lineage: Eukaryota; Metazoa; Chordata; Actinopteri; Salmoniformes; Salmonidae. The record is from Ensembl.
CACACACACACAUAAACCCCUCGCCUCAUAGGCAGACACACACACACACACACAAACCCCUCGCCUCAUAGGCAGACACACACACACACACACAAACCCCUUCGCUCAUAGGCAGACACACACACACAUAUAAACCCCUCGCCUCAUAUGCAGACACACACACACACUUAAACCCCUCGCCUCAUAGGCAGACACACACACACAUAUAAACCCCUCGCCUCAUAUGCAGACACACACACACACUUAAACCCCUCGCCUCAUGCAGGCAGACACACACAAACCCCUCGCCUCAUAGGCAGACACACACAAACCCCUCGCCUCAUAGGCAGACACACACAAACCCCUCGCCUCAUAGGCAGACACACACACACACACACAUAAACCCCUCGCCUCAUAGGCAGACACACACACACACAUAAACCCCUCGCCUCAUAGGCAGACACACACACAAACCCCCCUGAAACCACUCAGAUAUACAAUACUACACUACCAAAGAAACAUUCUCCUACAGUACGUUAUUGACCCAUGACUCAUAACACAGUGAACUCCAAAAGUAUUGGGACAGUGACACGUGUUGGCUCUGUACACCCUCACUUCAGAUAUGAAACGAUACAAUGACUAUGAAAAAAGUUCAGACUAUCAACUUUAAUUUGAGGGUGUUUUCAUCUACAUGUACCAGUCAAAAUUCAAGGGUUUUUCUUUAUUUUGACUAUUUUCUACAUUGUAGAACAAUAGUGAAGACAUCAACACUAUGAAAUAACACAUGUUAAAUUAAGACAUUCUCUCAACCAACUCUAUGAGGUAGUCACUCUUGGCAUUCUCUCAGCCAGCUCCAUGAGGUAGUCACUCUUGGCAUUCUCUCAGCCAGUUCCAUGAGGUAGUCACCCUUGGCAUUCUCUCAGCCAGCUCUAUGAGGUAGUCACUCUUGGCAUUCUCUCAGCCAACUUCAUGAGGUAGUCACUCUUGGCAUUCUCUCAGCCAACUUCAUGAGGUAGUCACUCUUGGCAUUCUCUCAGCCAGCUCUAUGAGGUAGUCACUCUUGGCAUUCUCUCAGCCAGCUCCAUGAGGUAGUCACCCUUGGCAUUCUCUCAGCCAGCUCUAUGAGGUAGUCACUCUUGGCAUUCUCUCAGCCAGCUCCAUGAGGUAGUCACUCUUGGCAUUCUCUCAGCCAGCUUCAUGAGGUAGUCUCUCUUGGCAUUCUCUCAGCCAGCUUCAUGAGGUAGUCACUCUUGGCAUUCUCUCAACCAGCUUCAUGAGGUAGUCACUCUUGGCAUUCUCUCACCCAGCUCUAUGAGGUAGUCACUCUUGGCAUUCUCUCAGCCAGCUUCAUGAGGUAGUCACUCUUGGCAUUCUCUCAGCCAGCUCUAUGAGGUAGUCACUCUUGGCAUUCUCUCAGCCAGCUUCAUGAGGUAGUCACUCUUGGCAUUCUCUCAGCCAGCUCUAUGAGGUAGUCUCUCUUGGCAAGACUUUGGCAAAAGAAAAGUAGAGCAAAAGUUGUAAAUUAUCACUGGUUUCUUGUCGGAGAGCGAUUAGUUCAUGAUGAUGUGUUAAUAGUGAUGAGUUAAUGAUGAUGUAUUGAUGAUAAUGUGUUAAUAGUGAUGUGUAGUUAAUAGUGAUGAGUUAAUGAUGAUGUGUUAAUGAUGAUGAGUUAAUCGUGAUGAGUUAAUCGUGAUGUGUUAAUGAUGAUUUGUUAAUGAUGAUGACUUAAUAGUGAUGUGUUAAUGAGGAUGUGUUAAUGAUGAUGUGUUAAUGAUGAUGUGCUAAUAGUGGUGUGUUAAUGACUAUAUGUUAAUAGUGGUGUGUUAAUGAUGAUGUGUUAAUGAUGAUGAGUUAAUAGUGAUGUGAUAAUGAUGAUGUGUUAAUAGUGGUGUGUUAAUGAUGACGUGUUAAUGAUGGUGUUAAUAGUUAUGUGAUAAUGAUGUAUCAAUGAUGAUGUGUUAAUAGUGCUGUGUUUAUGAUGUGUUAAUGAUGAUGUGUUAAUAGUGAUGUGUUAAUGGUGAUGUGUUAAUGAUGAUGCGCUAAUGAUGAUGCGUUAAUGAUGAUGUGUUAAUGAUGUGUUAAUAGUGAUGUGUUAAUGAUGAGUUUAUGAUGUGUUAAUGAUGAUGUGCUAAUGAUGAUGUGCUAAUGAUGAUGUGCUAAUGAUGAUGUGCUAAUGAUGUGUUAAUAGUGAUAUGUUAAUGAUGAUGUGUUUCUUGUUGUAGGGCGAUGUGUUAAUAAUAAUGUUUACUUGGGGAGAUCCAUUUGAGGUUAACAAUGAUUUAGGAAAGUUAGAGUAUCUGUCUACACAUGUAAAGAUGGGGAUAGAUGAGAUACGCUGUCAGAGCCUUAGGGGUUUGAUGAAGAGUAUCUGUCUACACAUGUA